GAUAAACGCUGGCGGCGCACAUAAGACAUGCAAGUCGAACGAACUUAAUUGAGAGCUUGCUCUCAAAGCGGUUAGUGGCGGACUGGUGAGUAACACGUAAGCAACCUGCCUAUUAGAGGGGAAUAACAGCGAGAAAUCGUUGCUAAUACCGCAUAUGCUGUGAGUAUCGCAUGAUACAAGCAGGAAAGGAGCAAUCCGCUAAUAGAUGGGCUUGCGUCUGAUUAGUUAGUUGGUGGGGUAACGGCCUACCAAGACGAUGAUCAGUAGCCGGACUGAGAGGUUGAACGGCCACAUUGGGACUGAGAUACGGCCCAGACUCCUACGGGAGGCAGCAGUCGGGAAUAUUGCGCAAUGGAGGAAACUCUGACGCAGUGACGCCGCGUGCAGGAAGAAGGUUUUCGGAUUGUAAACUGCUUUUAACAGGAAAGAAAAAAAUGACGGUACCUGU
RNAcentral lists this ribosomal RNA (448 nucleotides) under Clostridiales bacterium oral taxon 085. RNAcentral's name for it is "bacterial SSU rRNA". It matches the Rfam family "Bacterial small subunit ribosomal RNA", at positions 28 to 482 of the family's 1533-position model. Lineage: Bacteria; Bacillati; Bacillota; Clostridia; Eubacteriales. The record is from RNAcentral.